RNAcentral lists this ribosomal RNA (513 nucleotides) under uncultured archaeon. RNAcentral's name for it is "bacterial SSU rRNA". It matches the Rfam family "Archaeal small subunit ribosomal RNA", at positions 345 to 859 of the family's 1478-position model. The record is from RNAcentral.
AAACUUUGCAAUGUGCGAAAGCACGACAAGGUUAAUCCGAGUGGUUUCUGCUAAAGGAACCUUUUGACAGUCCUAGAAACACUGUUGAAUAAGGGGUGGGCAAGUUCUGGUGUCAGCCGCCGCGGUAAAACCAGCACCUCAAGUGGUCAGGAUGAUUAUUGGGCCUAAAGCAUCCGUAGCCGGCUCAGUAAGUUUUCGGUUAAAUCUGUACGCUCAACGUACAGGCUGCCGGGAAUACUGCAGAGCUAGGGAGUGGGAGAGGUAGACGGUACUCGGGAGGAAGUGGUAAAAUGCUUUGAUCUUUCGAUGACCACCUGUGGCGAAGGCGGUCUACCAGAACACGUCCGACGGUGAGGGAUGAAAGCUGGGGGAGCAAACCGGAUUAGAUACCCGGGUAGUCCCAGCUGUAAACUAUGCAAACUCAGUGAUGCAUUGGCUUGUGGCCAAUGCAGUGUUGCAGGGAAGCCGUUAAGUUUGCCGCCUGGGAAGUACGUACGCAAGUAUGAAACUUAA